AGACCCGAAACCCGGUGAUCUAGCCAUGGGCAGGUUGAAGGUUGGGUAACACUAACUGGAGGACCGAACCGACUAAUGUUGAAAAAUUAGCGGAUGACCUGUGGCUGGGGGUGAAAGGCCAAUCAAACCGGGAGAUAGCUGGUUCUCCCCGAAAGCUAUUUAGGUAGCGCCUCGUGAAUUCAUCUCCGGGGGUAGAGCACUGUUUCGGCUAGGGGGCCAUCCCGGCUUACCAACCCGAUGCAAACUGCGAAUACCGGAGAAUGUUAUCACGGGAGACACACGGCGGGUGCUAACGUCCGUCGUGAAGAGGGAAACAACCCAGACCGCCAGCUAAGGUCCCAAAGUCAUGGUUAAGUGGGAAACGAUGUGGGAAGGCCCAGACAGCCAGGAUGUUGGCUUAGAAGCAGCCAUCAUUUAAAGAAAGCGUAAUAGCUCACUGGUCGAGUCGGCCUGCGCGGAAGAUGUAACGGGGCUAAACCAUGCACCGAAGCUGCGGCAGCGACGCUUAUGCGUUGUUGGGUAGGGGAGCGUUCUGUAAGCCUGCGAAGGUGGCCUGUGAGGGUUGCUGGAGGUAUCAGAAGUGCGAAUGCUGACAUAAGUAACGAUAAAGCGGGUGAAAAGCCCGCUCGCCGGAAGACCAAGGGUUCCUGUCCAACGUUAAUCGGGGCAGGGUGAGUCGACCCCUAAGGCGAGGCCGAAAGGCGUAGUCGAUGGGAAACGGGUUAAUAUUCCCGUACUUGGUGUUACUGCGAAGGGGGGACGGAGAAGGCUAUGUUGGCCGGGCGACGGUUGUCCCGGUUUAAGCGUGUAGGUGUGUGUUCCAGGUAAAUCCGGUUCACUUUAACACUGAGGCGUGACGACGAGGCACUACGGUGCUGAAGCAACAAAUGCCCUGCUUCCAGGAAAAGCCUCUAAGCAUCAGGUAACAUCAAAUCGUACCCCAAACCGACACAGGUGGUCAGGUAGAGAAUACCAAGGCGCUUGAGAGAACUCGGGUGAAGGAACUAGGCAAAAUGGUGCCGUAACUUCGGGAGAAGGCACGCUGACACGUAGGUGAAGUGAUUUACUCAUGGAGCUGAAGUCAGUCGAAGAUACCAGCUGGCUGCAACUGUUUAUUAAAAACACAGCACUGUGCAAACACGAAAGUGGACGUAUACGGUGUGACGCCUGCCCGGUGCCGGAAGGUUAAUUGAUGGGGUCAGCGCAAGCGAAGCUCCUGAUCGAAGCCCCGGUAAACGGCGGCCGUAACUAUAACGGUCCUAAGGUAGCGAAAUUCCUUGUCGGGUAAGUUCCGACCUGCACGAAUGGCGUAAUGAUGGCCAGGCUGUCUCCACCCGAGACUCAGUGAAAUUGAACUCGCUGUGAAGAUGCAGUGUACCCGCGGCAAGACGGAAAGACCCCGUGAACCUUUACUAUAGCUUGACACUGAACAUUGAGCCUUGAUGUGUAGGAUAGGUGGGAGGCUUUGAAGUGUGGACGCCAGUCUGCAUGGAGCCGACCUUGAAAUACCACCCUUUAAUGUUUGAUGUUCUAACGUGGACCCGUGAUCCGGGUUGCGGACAGUGUCUGGUGGGUAGUUUGACUGGGGCGGUCUCCUCCUAAAGAGUAACGGAGGAGCACGAAGGUUGGCUAAUCCUGGUCGGACAUCAGGAGGUUAGUGCAAUGGCAUAAGCCAGCUUGACUGCGAGCGUGACGGCGCGAGCAGGUGCGAAAGCAGGUCAUAGUGAUCCGGUGGUUCUGAAUGGAAGGGCCAUCGCUCAACGGAUAAAAGGUACUCCGGGGAUAACAGGCUGAUACCGCCCAAGAGUUCAUAUCGACGGCGGUGUUUGGCACCUCGAUGUCGGCUCAUCACAUCCUGGGGCUGAAGUAGGUCCCAAGGGUAUGGCUGUUCGCCAUUUAAAGUGGUACGCGAGCUGGGUUUAGAACGUCGUGAGACAGUUCGGUCCCUAUCUGCCGUGGGCGCUGGAGAACUGAGGGGGGCUGCUCCUAGUACGAGAGGACCGGAGUGGACGCAUCACUGGUGUUCGGGUUGUCAUGCCAAUGGCACUGCCCGGUAGCUAAAUGCGGAAGAGAUAAGUGCUGAAAGCAUCUAAGCACGAAACUUGCCCCGA
RNAcentral lists this ribosomal RNA (2111 nucleotides) under Salmonella enterica subsp. enterica serovar Braenderup. RNAcentral's name for it is "partial 23S ribosomal RNA". It matches the Rfam family "Bacterial large subunit ribosomal RNA", at positions 711 to 2802 of the family's 2925-position model. The record is from RNAcentral. Lineage: Bacteria; Pseudomonadati; Pseudomonadota; Gammaproteobacteria; Enterobacterales; Enterobacteriaceae.